Molecule: long non-coding RNA, 2127 nt
Filed under: Fragaria vesca (wild strawberry)
Lineage: Eukaryota; Viridiplantae; Streptophyta; Magnoliopsida; Rosales; Rosaceae
Description: long non-coding RNA (FVES_LNC005445)
Source: RNAcentral
CAUGGCGGAGGUGGUCCGGGCGGAGGUGGAGGUCCAGGAGGAGGAGGGCCUGGUGGAUGGGGUGGAGGUCCUGGAGGGGGUGGCCCUGGUGGAUGGGGAGGAGGACCCGGAGGGCCAGGAGGACCAGGAGGGCCAGGAGGACCAGGAGGACCAUGGGGUCCUGGCCCGGGAGGCCCGGGAGGACCUUGGGGUCCGGGGCCUGGCGGACCUCCUUGGGGUCCGGGAUUUGGCGGACCUUGGUGGGGAGGACCUGGUGGCUUCUUUGGUGGGUUUGGCAAUGGCCUAUGUGACAUGAUAUCUUCUUGGUAAGUAUGAGUUUUGAUAUCUUGGCAUUUCUUGUGACUUGUUUCUGUUAGCUUGCAACAUGUCAAGUAUAUUAGACUGAAAACUACAUUGUGUUGUGAUUGGCAAAAUGGCAGCUUCUACUGCUUGUGCUGCUGCUGUUUGCUAGAUGAAUGCUUUGGUGGACCUCGUGGUGGAUUUGGACCUCCUGGAGGACCCGGAGGACCUCCUCCCCCAUUCUGAUAGUUUGUUUACUACUACUACAUUGAGGUUUCUGCAUCUGUAUUUUAAUGUAGCACUUAAUAAUUGAGAGCUCUACAUAUUAAUAGUCAUGCAUGUUACAAAGCUCUCUGUUGGACGCAGCUUAUUAUCACCUCAUUGCAUUUCAAGUCUUGUUAUGUCAGCUUAUUCUUACCACAGUUCGAGUCUUGUUAAUGUAGAGUUUAGAGAAGGGAGUUGUACCGUGAGCUUUGUGCUGAGUUCUUCAAUUACAUGUUACGAGAACCUUGUUAACUUCCAAAUUUAAAUGAGAAAGACAUUUGUUCAUCCCUGUAAUCUAUCCCUUUGAGAAAUGAUUUGAUUGUUCAAUGAGCUCCUAAGAAUGAUCUUAUCUUGUGCUAUGCAAGUACCAAAUGUUGAAUACUAAUUGACGCACUACAAAAUCUACUUUCUAACACAGAAAGCAUUCAUACUUUCUGCAGUGUUUAGUUGAUGAUUGUUCUCUCUGUUGCAAAAUUAGCAUGAUCAGUAGGUUUAUGUAUGAACUCUAUGUCUGGUUCUGAUAGAAAUUCAAAGACUGUCAUUCCAUUGCUAGAGCAAAUAGGACCUAGUCUACUCCCAGUAAAGUUAGAUGAUCUGAUCUUUUACUAUCAGUAAGUUGGGGGUGGAGUUGUAUUUAUUCUUGAAUUAGAAGAUUAUCAAAUGCUCAGUUUGUUAGUAGUACUGAUGUAAGUUGGAAUGGUAAGUAGACUUGCAGAGAUAAGGAUAUGUGUUGUCUAGUUUGACUUACAGGUUUGAGUAAGAGUAGUUGUUAGAAGUGUCCUCAUGUAGUACUACUGGCAAUGGGAUUACAUAAUCCUUAGAGGUUAAGCUAGCUCAAAUUGGAUCAGCCGGUCAGCUACAUCUGGAGUACUCUUAGAAAGCUUCUUUUGCUUGACACUAUUAUUCCACUUCGCUACCUGUGGUGGUGCCAAUAUUGAGAUAAAGUGUUAGUGAUGGAUGGCGGAGGUGGAGAUGGUGGAGGUGGAGGUGGAGGUGGGGGUGGGGUGGGGGUGGGAGUGGGGUGGAGGACGGGCGGGUGGGAGUGGGGUGGAGGUGGUGGUGGCGGUGGAGUGGGGUGGAGGGCGACGGGAGGGGGAGGGCCGGGUGGUUGGGGUGGAGGUCCUGGAGGGGGAGGGCCUGGUGGUUGGGGCGGAGGUCCUGGAGGGGGUGGGCCUGGUGGAUGGGGCCAUGGUCCUGGAGGACCUGGUUGGGGUCCAGGUCCUGGAGGUCUAUGGGGUCCAGGCCCGGGAGGACCUUGGGGUCCUGGGCCUGGCGGACCUUGGGGUCCGGGAUAUGGCGGGGGGUGGUGGGGCGGACCUGGUGGCUUCUUUGGCGGGUUUGGCAAUGGAAUAUGCCAGAUGAUAUCUUCUUGGUAAGUACGAGUGCAUGAGUUUUGAUGUUCUACUGUUUCUUGUGCUUUCUUUUUACUGGUACUCGAAAUCUAUGUACAUGGACUGAAAACUGUAAUGUAUUGUUCUUGUUAAUUGCAGUUUCUCGUGCUUGUGCUGCUGUUGUUUGCUAGAUGAAUGCUUUGGUGGACCUCGUGGCGGAUAUGGACCUCCUCCUCCUUUCUGAUACAGUUUG